UACGGAGGGUGCAAGCGUUAUCCGGAUUCACUGGGUUUAAAGGGUGCGUAGGUGGGUAAGUAAGUCAGUGGUGAAAUCUUCGAGCUUAACUCGGAAACUGCCAUUGAUACUAUUUAUCUUGAAUACUUUGGAGGUAAGCGGAAUAUGUCAUGUAGCGGUGAAAUGCUUAGAUAUGACAUAGAACACCAAUUGCGAAGGCAGCUUACUACACAGUUAUUGACACUGAGGCACGAAAGCGUGGGGAGCAAACAGG
Molecule: ribosomal RNA, 253 nt
Filed under: uncultured bacterium
Lineage: Bacteria
Description: partial 16S ribosomal RNA
Rfam family: Bacterial small subunit ribosomal RNA
Source: RNAcentral